RNAcentral lists this ribosomal RNA (252 nucleotides) under uncultured bacterium. Its description in RNAcentral is "partial 16S ribosomal RNA". It matches the Rfam family "Bacterial small subunit ribosomal RNA", at positions 524 to 776 of the family's 1533-position model. The record is from RNAcentral.
UACGGAGGAUGCGAGCGUUAUCCGGAUUUAUUGGGUUUAAAGGGUGCGUAGGCGGAUCGUUAAGUCAGUGGUCAAAUUGAGGGGCUCAACCCCUUCCCGCCAUUGAAACUGGCGAUCUUGAGUGGAAGAGAAGUAUGCGGAAUGCGUGGUGUAGCGGUGAAAUGCAUAGAUAUCACGCAGAACCCCGAUUGCGAAGGCAGCAUGCCGGCUUCCUACUGACACUGAAGCACGAAAGCGUGGGGAUCGAACAGG